AUUGAACGCUGGCGGAAUGCUUUACACAUGCAAGUCGAACGGCAGCACGGGGGCAACCCUGGUGGCGAGUGGCGAACGGGUGAGUAAUACAUCGGAACGUGCCCAGUCGUGGGGGAUAACGUAGCGAAAGUUACGCUAAUACCGCAUACGAUCUAUGGAUGAAAGCGGGGGACCGUAAGGCCUCGCGCGAUUGGAGCGGCCGAUGUCGGAUUAGGUAGGUGGUGAGGUAAAGGCUCACCAAGCCGACGAUCUGUAGCUGGUCGGAGAGGACGACCAGCCACACUGGGACUGAGACACGGCCCAGACUCCUACGGGAGGCAGCAGUGGGGAAGUUUGGACAAUGGGCGCAAGCCUGAUCCAGCCAUUCCGCGUGCAGGACGAAGGCUUUCGGGUUGUAAACUGCUUUUGUACGGAACGAGAAGGCUCUGGUUAAUACCUGGGGCUCAUGACGGUACCGUAAGAAUAAGCACCGGCUAACUACGUGCCAGCCGCCGCGGUAA
This 500-nucleotide ribosomal RNA is filed under the name uncultured bacterium. RNAcentral's name for it is "partial 16S ribosomal RNA". It matches the Rfam family "Bacterial small subunit ribosomal RNA", at positions 29 to 523 of the family's 1533-position model. The record is from RNAcentral.